This 383-nucleotide long non-coding RNA is filed under the name Elaeis guineensis (African oil palm). RNAcentral's name for it is "long non-coding RNA (EGUI_LNC040477)". The record is from RNAcentral. Lineage: Eukaryota; Viridiplantae; Streptophyta; Magnoliopsida; Arecales; Arecaceae.
UGAGGAGAUGCUUACUGCUCAGCUCAGCAUAAGUAGAGUUCUAGGUAGCUUAGCUUUAGCAUAACUAAGGUAUUAUAAUAAUCAUCUCAACAUUUCAACACUAUCCCCCUACUCUUAAGUCUGAAACAAUGUUUCAGGUGAAAGGAAUGCUUGUUGAAAUGCCUUUGGGUAUAUGUUGUCUGUCUUCUUACUCCUCUUUUGAAGAGAUAGUGUGUGCCGACGGUGAUCUUGUGUUGGGAUCAUCUAGGGUUCUUUAGCGACGUUCUGAGGGUCAAUUAGUUAUCCCUCUGGAGAUUUUCUAAGGGUCUCCCUCUGCUUCUCGAAUGACUCGAGCUCUCAGGGGUCUUAUAAGUCAGCCCCACCUCGGAGUUGUUGAAGUCUUC